Molecule: unclassified non-coding RNA, 200 nt
Filed under: soil metagenome
Description: partial contains internal transcribed spacer 2 and large subunit ribosomal RNA
Source: RNAcentral
UUAUCACCUCUCAAGCCUGGCUUGCUGUUGGAUCUUGGUUAUGUUUAGGCAUGACCGAUCUCAAAGAUAAUGAGGCGUCUGUGAGGACCCCAGUACACUGAGCUUUCUAAGCACGUAUUUGGAGGGAGUCCAGGCCCGGUCUUACCCAUAUUUUUAACAAGGUUGACCUCGGAUCAGGUAGGAAUACCCGCUGAACUUAA